Molecule: long non-coding RNA, 274 nt
Organism: Mytilus californianus (California mussel)
Lineage: Eukaryota; Metazoa; Mollusca; Bivalvia; Mytilida; Mytilidae
Exons: 2
Source: RefSeq, a predicted model, not a curated record
GGUUGAAGUUUAGUGGCAAUGUGGGAUGGUUGCCAUCCGCUAUUGCUUGCAAUGGCAAAUCUAGUUAUGGCACCCUCAACGGAUUGGGGUGACAUAUUGUUAUUGUUCGUUUCUUUUUUUCUUAUUAUUUUUAUUCUUCCACACUUUUUGUCCACGGCAGUUCUCGUUAUUGGAUGGAUCAAUCUUGGUGAAACUAUGCUAUAAUGUUGACCACCUUAUGAAGUUGUGCACCUGACUUUGGAAUGUGCAAGAUGGCCACGGUUACCAUGGAAAC